RNAcentral lists this ribosomal RNA (253 nucleotides) under uncultured bacterium. Its description in RNAcentral is "partial 16S ribosomal RNA". It matches the Rfam family "Bacterial small subunit ribosomal RNA", at positions 524 to 776 of the family's 1533-position model. The record is from RNAcentral.
CACGUAGGGCGCAAGCGUUGUCCGGAAUUAUUGGGCGUAAAGAGCUCGUAGGUGGUUUGUUGCGUCGGCUGUGAAAUCCCACGGCUCAACCGUGGAACUGCUGGGUAUACUGGUUGUCUUGAGCCAGCUAGGGGCGAGCGGAACAGACGGUGGAGCGGUGAAAUGCGUAGAUAUCGUCUGGAACGCCGAAGGUGAAAACAGCUCGCUGGGGCUGCGCUGACGCUGAGACACGAAAGCCAGGGGAGCGAACGGG